Molecule: ribosomal RNA, 244 nt
Filed under: Dermacentor variabilis (American dog tick)
Lineage: Eukaryota; Metazoa; Arthropoda; Arachnida; Ixodida; Ixodidae
Description: partial 16S ribosomal RNA
Source: RNAcentral
UUUGGGCAAGAAGACCCUAUGAAUUUUAAAAUAAUUAAUUUCUUAUAAGAAAUUAAUUAUUUUUAGUUGGGGCAACUAGAAAAUAUUAUAAACUUUUUAUAUAAUAAAAUGACCCAUUAUUAAUGAUUAUUUGAGAAAAAUACUCUAGGGAUAACAGCGUAAUAAUUUUUGAUAGAACCUAUAGACAAAAUAGUUUGCGACCUCGAUGUUGGAUUAGGAUACUUUUUUAAUGAAGAUGUUAAAA